AGAGUUUGAUCAUGGCUCAGGAUGAACGCUGGCGGCGUGCCUAAUACAUGCAAGUCGAGCGAACUGAUUAGAAGCUUGUCCUUAUGACGUUAGCGGCGGACGGGUGAGUAACACGUGGGCAACCUGCCUGUAAGACUGGGAUAACUUCGGGAAACCGAAGCUAAUACCGGAUAGUAUCUUCUCCUUCAUGGGAGAUGAUUGAAAGAUGUUUUCGGUUAUCUCUUACAGAUGGGCCCGCGGUGUUUUAGCUAGUUGGUGAGGUAACGGCUCACCAAGGCAACGAUGCAUAGCCGACCUGAGAGGGUGAUCGGCCACACUGGGACUGAGACACGGCCCAGACUCCUACGGGAGGCAGCAGUAGGGAAUCUUCCGCAAUGGACGAAAGUCUGACGGAGCAACGCCGCGUGAGUGAUGAAGGCUUUCGGGUCGUAAAACUCUGUUGUUAUGGAAGAACAAGUACGAGAGUAACUGCUCGUACCUUGACGGUACCUAACCAGAAAGCCACGGCUAACUACGUGCCAGCAGCCGCGGUAAUACGUAGGUGGCAAGCGUUAUCCGGAAUUAUUGGGCGUAAAGCGCGCGCAGGCGGUUUCUUAAGUCUGCUGUGAAAGCCCACGGCUCAACCGUGGAGGGUCAUUGGA
Molecule: ribosomal RNA, 641 nt
Filed under: uncultured marine bacterium
Lineage: Bacteria
Description: bacterial SSU rRNA
Rfam family: Bacterial small subunit ribosomal RNA
Source: RNAcentral